Gallus gallus (chicken) is the source of this 411-nucleotide long non-coding RNA. The record is from Ensembl. NCBI's taxonomy places the organism in Eukaryota, Metazoa, Chordata, Aves, Galliformes, Phasianidae.
CUCAUGUUGGUGUUGUCUCUCAAGAUUUCUUGUGGUGAAACCGUUGUCUCCUCUGCCGUCAAAUCAGUAAUCAUCCCUUCUGCACCAUGUAUGAGCUGUCAUCUCAGCAAGCAGCCCUAUACAAGGGCUUUGUCUGCCACAGCUGUUCACCACCACAGUGACCUCACUGGGAGAAUAUACUGGAACAAGAUAAUGCGCAUCAGAAGAAGGUUUAAAGAAUAAAUGAAGCUCUGGGCAAGAAGUGAACAUGUUGCCACGUGAGCUACACACAAACUUUCUUCAGCCUUGCUGAGAAGAGUAGCUCUGCCAGCCAGAGCUCUUCCUCCUUAAGAAACAGAUAUCCAAAAGAAUUCAGACUGAAAUUUUUACUUGGAAAACUCAAGCUACAAUACAGCUUAAGGUUUUAAUAAU